AAAAAGUGAUCUAACUUGGUUUAAAUCCUUUAUCUAUGUUGAAGCAUUAUUGCAGAUUCCCUUUCUCUUUGUAGCCUGCUAUGGAUUUUAUAAGAAACGAAACUGGGUUAAACUUCCUUGUAUUGUGUACUCUACUCAUGUUUCCACAACUUUAGUCCCUAUACUAGCCACCAUCUAUGUUACACCAGGAAUAACAGUAGAACAUAGAGGCUUUUUAAUGGCAAUAUACGGGAUUUAUUUAGUGAUACCACUUUUACUAUUCCUACGUAUGACUCUUCCCAGGAGACCUUUCAUAGAAGUUCGAAAAUAUAAACUACAUUAAUUUUCAACAAGAAAAAGUUAAAUAAAAUUGUGUUAAAUUUA
This is a long non-coding RNA of Zophobas morio, 363 nucleotides long. RefSeq lists it as uncharacterized. The record is from RefSeq and is a predicted model, not a curated record. Lineage: Eukaryota; Metazoa; Arthropoda; Insecta; Coleoptera; Tenebrionidae. The transcript is spliced from 3 exons.